Bos taurus (domestic cattle) is the source of this 57-nucleotide non-coding RNA. The record is from Rfam. NCBI's taxonomy places the organism in Eukaryota, Metazoa, Chordata, Mammalia, Artiodactyla, Bovidae.
UAGCUCAGUUGGUAAAGCACCUGCCUGCAAUGCGGGAGAUCUGGGUUCAAUUCCUGG